Non-coding RNA from Cinara cedri, 431 nucleotides. The record is from the annotation of a GenBank genome assembly. NCBI's taxonomy places the organism in Eukaryota, Metazoa, Arthropoda, Insecta, Hemiptera, Aphididae.
UGUGUCAUCUGUCACCGAGGCGAUUUUUGUUAUUAUUGUAUUUUUUUUACUAUUACAAAUAUAUAUUAGGAGAACGGUGGAAUAAAGAAAAACGAUUGGUCGGUAGUUGUCGGAUUCUUUAUGGUAUCCUGGUGUUUAUAUAAUCAUCAUUAUGCGCACAACGUAUUAUGAUAUCACGCAAAACAAAUAAUAGUAUCUCGAUUUGUUAUUGUAUGUAGAAAAAUAAGCGGGUACUGCUGAUGAGUGUGCUGACUGUUGUAGUUGGUAAGUCAGAACAACAGAGUAUAUUGUUAUAAACACAAUGAUAUUUACAUAAAAAUAAAACGAUAUUAACAUAAAUACAAAUUGAAAAUUUUAAAUGACUAUAAAUAGCUCAAAAACCGAUAGAAAAAUGUUGUAAAUACCACGUACCGCGUUUUUUAAAUGCUAAU